This 189-nucleotide non-coding RNA is filed under the name Synergistaceae bacterium. RNAcentral's name for it is "6S RNA". It matches the Rfam family "6S / SsrS RNA". Rfam says of the family: E. coli 6S RNA was the first non coding RNA to be sequenced, but its function was unknown until recently. It consists of 184 nucleotides that fold into an extended hairpin structure with a large single-stranded internal bulge. The 6S RNA specifically associates with RNA polymerase holoenzyme containing the sigma70 specificity factor. Lineage: Bacteria; Thermotogati; Synergistota; Synergistia; Synergistales; Synergistaceae. The record is from RNAcentral.
AGCUCCCUGCGGUGUGCGUGAUCGUGAAUAAUGUUUUGAGCCAACGCUCGUUCAAAUAGGAGCAACGUCCUUGCCGGGGAUGAUGACCGGGACACCGAUACGGCUGCCGAACAACUGAACUAAGGCGAGGCGACUCCACUCUGGUAGGAACGGGUCAAAACGUUCAGGACACGGCAUUGUGGGGUUUUA